This 247-nucleotide long non-coding RNA is filed under the name Salvia miltiorrhiza (redroot sage). Its description in RNAcentral is "long non-coding RNA (SMIL_LNC006166)". Lineage: Eukaryota; Viridiplantae; Streptophyta; Magnoliopsida; Lamiales; Lamiaceae. The record is from RNAcentral.
GGCGAAUUGGAAUUCAGGGGUGGGGCGGACUUGAAUUCAGGUGUACAGAGGAGGCGCUGAUGUAGGCGAACGGAGGGGGAGGCUUCCGAGGGAGCGUCGAACCAGGGAGGCGGCGCGUCGGACCGGGGAAGGCGGAGCAUCGGACCGGGGGAGGCGGCGCGGCGGAGUCAAAGGUGCCGAGCCAGAAGAGCGUCUUCUUCCCCGGCGAGUCAGCAGUGGCGGAGCAACACUGCCGCGUGCGCGGCUC